This 448-nucleotide ribosomal RNA is filed under the name uncultured bacterium. Its description in RNAcentral is "bacterial SSU rRNA". It matches the Rfam family "Bacterial small subunit ribosomal RNA", at positions 355 to 796 of the family's 1533-position model. The record is from RNAcentral.
UCGAGAAUUUUUCACAAUGGGGGAAACCCUGAUGGAGCGACGCCGCGUGGGGGAUGAAGGGCUUCGGUCCGUAAACCCCUGUCAUCAGCGAACAAACCUUCUCGUUGAACAAACGGGAAGCUGAUUGUAGUUGGAGAGGAAGGGACGGCUAACUCUGUGCCAGCAGCCGCGGUAAUACAGAGGUCCCAAGCGUUGUUCGGAUUCACUGGGCGUAAAGGGUGCGUAGGUGGUUGGGUAAGUUUGAGGUGAAAUCUCCGGGCUUAACCCGGAAAUGGCCUUGAAUACUAUCUGGCUUGAGGAUUGGAGGGGAGACUGGAAUUCUCGGUGUAGCAGUGAAAUGCGUAGAUAUCGAGAGGAACACCAGUGGCGAAGGCGAGUCUCUGGACAAUUCCUGACACUGAGGCACGAAAGCUAGGGGAGCAAACGGGAUUAGAUACCCCCGUAGUCC